Balaenoptera ricei (Rice's whale) is the source of this 1169-nucleotide long non-coding RNA. RefSeq lists it as uncharacterized. Lineage: Eukaryota; Metazoa; Chordata; Mammalia; Artiodactyla; Balaenopteridae. The transcript is spliced from 2 exons. The record is from RefSeq and is a predicted model, not a curated record.
CGACCGAGGAGGGGGCCCUCCAGCGGGCGCGGGCAGCGCGGCUGCGUCGCGAGGGACCGGUGCGGGGAAGAGAGAUUUGUGUCUUCCAGGCUUCAACAGUUCCAAGUGAGGCUCAUGGUGGCCCAAGGAUUUCAACCCGUUCCAUUAGAAGGUGACCCGUGUCCCUGUAGGUCCUUGGAACAGUCAUCAAGGGACUUCUACACCUCUAGGGUAGGCUAGGGUCUGUGGCCCCUGUUCAGCAGGAAGUAGCUCCAGAAGAAGAGACAUUUGGCCCCUUGACCCUUAAGAAUAAUGGGUGCAGGGCUUCCCUGGUGGCAUAGUGGUUAAGAGUCCACCUGCCAAUGCAGGGGACACAGGUUCGAGGCCUGGUCUGGGAAGAUCCCACAUGCCACGGAGCAACUAAGCCCGUGCACCACGACUACUGAGCCUGCACGCUAGAGCCCGCAAGCCACAGCUACUGAGCCCGCGUGCCACAACUACCGAAGCCUAUGUGCCUAGAGCCUGUGCUCCACAACAAGACAAGCCACUGCAAUGAGAAGCCCGCACACCACAACAGAGAGUAGCCCCCACUCACUGCAACUAGAGAAAGCCUGCGCGCAGCAACGAAGACCCAACGCAGCCAAAAAUAAAUAAAUAAAAUAAGUAAAUUUAAAAAAGAAUAAUGUGUAUAGAAUCCCUCAAGGGAGAAUGAGAUCGGCUGGGACCUAGGGUCAUCUACCAGGACGCUUGCACCUGGACAGUGCCUCCUUGAACAACAGGAAGCUGGCAACCAUAAACGGACCAAGGGGUAAAGCUUUCUUAAGCAACAGGAUGCUGAAGGCCGUGAAUCAACCACAAGUGAUUAAAAACAACCUCAUGCCUGUGCAGUAGGGGCGAUGUUGACAACUACACAACCUUCCUGGUGGCGGUAACGAGCAAGUCUGCCAUUUUGAGGUGCCAGCACAGAAAGUGGGAAACUGCACAUGAUCUCUGUAUAUGGCACUGCCAAGAAGGAUGAACAAACUGCCUAAGCCAUGCCCCCUGUCUGGCCUGCAGAUCCACCCCCAAUGUCACCCCAUCAAAGGACCCAGGGAGCUCUUUGUGAAGGAGUGGGCAAGGACACCUGGUGCUUGCUUUCAGUUCCUUACGCUGCAGCACAAGCCCCCAUAAAGCCACGUCUGAAAUUCUCA